This 424-nucleotide ribosomal RNA is filed under the name uncultured Clostridium sp. RNAcentral's name for it is "bacterial SSU rRNA". It matches the Rfam family "Bacterial small subunit ribosomal RNA", at positions 355 to 794 of the family's 1533-position model. Lineage: Bacteria; Bacillati; Bacillota; Clostridia; Eubacteriales; Clostridiaceae. The record is from RNAcentral.
UGGGGAAUAUUGGGCAAUGGGCGCAAGCCUGACCCAGCAACGCCGCGUGAAGGAAGAAGGCUUUCGGGUUGUAAACUUCUUUUGUCAGGGAAGAGUGGAAGACGGUACCUGGCGAAUAAGCCACGGCUAACUACGUGCCAGCAGCCGCGGUAAUACGUAGGGGGCAAGCGUUAUCCGGAUUUACUGGGUGUAAAGGGAGCGUAGACGGUCACGCAAGUCUGAUGUGAAAACCCAGGGCUUAACCUUGGGCCUGCAUUGGAAACUGUGAGACUAGAGUGCAGGAGAGGUAAGUGGAAUUCCUAGUGUAGCGGUGAAAUGCGUAGAUAUUAGGAGGAACACCAGUGGCGAAGGCGGCUUACUGGACUGUAACUGACGUUGAGGCUCGAAAGCGUGGGGAGCAAACAGGAUUAGAUACCCUGGUAGU